This is a long non-coding RNA of Carassius gibelio (silver crucian carp), 961 nucleotides long. RefSeq lists it as uncharacterized. NCBI's taxonomy places the organism in Eukaryota, Metazoa, Chordata, Actinopteri, Cypriniformes, Cyprinidae. The transcript is spliced from 3 exons. The record is from RefSeq and is a predicted model, not a curated record.
GCUGCUGAGAGCACUAAAGGCUCACAUAAAUCUGUCCUGGGAGAAGCGAUCAGAGGACACGCUCUCUGGUGGGCACUGGGAAAACGGACAUUUGUUACCAUUGGGAUAGUUGCCGUUGCUUACGGGAACAAAGGACAAACUCAUCUAAUUUGUGCUCUGGAACAAGACUAUUUGCUGGAGAGUCAGCUAGUCAUGCAGUUUCUUCUACUAGACCACCAGACUGUCACCAACGCAAAGAGUUAAGCCUGCAAAUGGAUAAACCAAACAGAGGAACAGAUCAUUUCAAAUGUGACCAUCGUCAUCUUCAUGUGGAGGAAUCACUUUUCUUUGAGUAUGACUUGCAUUUUCUGCAUCUGCGUCCUUGCAAUUCAGACACUAUAAUUUCUGAUAACAUCAUCACAGGGUCUGUAAAAGUAAAAAGAUUGAAUCAGUGGGUUUAAGUGGUGUUUUUGAAUGUAAUAUGUAUUAUUAUUUGCAUAGAAAUGCAUUAGAAUUUCUGUUGUCAUUUUAACUUUUAAAGCUUGGACUAAAUCCUCAUCAAGCUUGACAUGAUUGUAUGUUUUUAUCCUCUUGUUUGACCUCACUACAGCACUCUGUGUAACAUCGACUAAACAAUACUCAUUUAUAUAAAAAAAUUUACAAUUGCAAAUUGAGGGGAAAAAAAUCAUUUAAAAAAAGGAUGUUAAUGUUGUACAUUCUAUAACAACAAUUUAUUAUUUCUCCCAAAACACCGGACAGUGACAUCAUGCAGUAGGCUGAGCUUGUUUGAAUUUAGAUACAUAAACUAAUAAAUAAAGUUAUUUUAAGCACAUCUUUGGAAAAAUUAUUUAUGAUGCACUUCAAAUGAUACAAUGUUGAAAUGCAUGUGGAAAAUACAGAUAAAUAGUAGCCUAUUGCAAUUAAUAUAUUAUGUAUUUAAAAGUGGAAUUAAAAUGUGUUUAAUUUGUAUUGCAAAACUAAU